GCCGGGGUGGUGGAAUGGUAGACACGCAGGCCUUAGGAGUCUGUGCUGACAACAGCGUGUGGGUUCAAGUCCCUCCCCCGGCA
Molecule: transfer RNA, 83 nt
Filed under: Chloroflexota bacterium
Lineage: Bacteria; Bacillati; Chloroflexota
Also listed under: 1 other name
Description: Chloroflexi bacterium tRNA-Leu
Rfam family: tRNA
About the family: Transfer RNA (tRNA) molecules are approximately 80 nucleotides in length.
Source: RNAcentral